ACGGGUGAGUAACGCGUGGGAAUAUGCCCUUUGGUACGGAACAACUGAGGGAAACUUCAGCUAAUACCGUAUGUGCCCUUCGGGGGAAAGAUUUAUCGCCAUUGGAGUAGCCCGCGUUGGAUUAGGUAGUUGGUGAGGUAAAGGCUCACCAAGCCGACGAUCCAUAGCUGGUCUGAGAGGAUGAUCAGCCACACUGGGACUGAGACACGGCCCAGACUCCUACGGGAGGCAGCAGUAGGGAAUCUUGCGCAAUGGGCGAAAGCCUGACGCAGCCAUGCCGCGUGAAUGAUGAAGGUCUUAGGAUUGUAAAAUUCUUUCACCGGGGAAGAUAAUGACGGUACCCGGAGAAGAAGCCCCGGCUAACUUCGUGCCAGCAGCCGCGGUAAUACGAAGGGGGCUAGCGUUGCUCGGAAUUACUGGGCGUAAAGGGCGCGUAGGCGGAUAGUUUAGUCAGAGGUAAAAGCCCAGGGCUCAACCUUGGAACUGCCUUUGAUACUGGCUAUCUUGAGUUCGGGAGAGGUGAGUGGAAUGCCGAGUGUAGAGGUGAAAUUCGUAGA
Molecule: ribosomal RNA, 557 nt
Filed under: uncultured Phenylobacterium sp.
Lineage: Bacteria; Pseudomonadati; Pseudomonadota; Alphaproteobacteria; Caulobacterales; Caulobacteraceae
Description: bacterial SSU rRNA
Rfam family: Bacterial small subunit ribosomal RNA
Source: RNAcentral